This 384-nucleotide ribosomal RNA is filed under the name uncultured bacterium. RNAcentral's name for it is "bacterial SSU rRNA". It matches the Rfam family "Bacterial small subunit ribosomal RNA", at positions 790 to 1167 of the family's 1533-position model. The record is from RNAcentral.
GUAGUCCACGCCCUAAACGAUGCGCACUAGAUCGAGGAGAGUGACAUCCCCUUGGUCGAAGCAAAAGUGUUAAGUGCGCCGCCUGGGGAGUACGGUCGCAAGGCUAAAACUCAAAGGAAUUGACGGGGGCUCACACAAGCGGUGGAGCAUGUGGCUUAAUUCGAAGCAACGCGAAGAACCUUAUCCUGGGCUUGACAUGCACGGAUUAACUCUCUGAAAGGGGAGCCACACCCGCAAGGGUGGAACGUGCACAGGUGCUGCAUGGCUGUCGUCAGCUCGUGCUGUGAAGUGUCGGGUUAAGUCCCUCAACGAGCGCAACCCCUGUCGCUAGUUGCUAACGAGUAAUGUCGAGGACUCUAGCGAGACUGCCGGUGUCAAACCGGA